Molecule: ribosomal RNA, 253 nt
Filed under: uncultured bacterium
Lineage: Bacteria
Description: partial 16S ribosomal RNA
Rfam family: Bacterial small subunit ribosomal RNA
Source: RNAcentral
UACGGGGGGGGCAAGCGUUGUUCGGAAUUACUGGGCGUAAAGGGCUCGUAGGCGGCCAACUAAGUCGGAUGUGAAAUCCCCAGGCUUAACCUGGGAACUGCAUCCGAUACUGGAUGGCUUGAAUUCGGGAGAGGGAUGCAGAAUUCCAGGUGUAGCGGUGAAAUGCGUAGAUAUCUGGAGGAAUACCGGUGGCGAAGGCGAGUCCCUGGACAACUCCUGACACUGAGGCACGAAAGCUAGGGGAGCAAACAGG